ACUACGGGUGGCAGCAGUGGGGAAUAGUGCACAAUGGGGGAAACCCUGAUGCAGCGACGCCGCGUGAGCGAGGAAGUAUUUCUGUAUGUAAAGCUCUAUCAGCAGGGACGAAAAAAGACGGUACCUGACUAAGAAGCACCGGCUAACUAAGUGCCAGCAGCCGCGGUAAGACGUAGGGGGCAAGCGUUAUCCGGAUUUACUGGGUGUAAGGGGAGCGUAGACGGCAAGGCAAGCCAGAAGUGAAAGGGCAGGGCUCAACCCUGUACAUGGUUUUGGAACUGUGGUGCUAGAGUGCAGGAGAGGUAAGUGGCAUUCCUAGUGUCGCGGUGAAAUGCGUAGAUAUUAGGAGGAACCCCAGUGGCGAAGGCGGCUUACUGGACUGUAACUGACGUUGAGGCUCGAAAGCGUGGGUAGCAAACAGGAUUAGAUACCCGAGUAGUC
This 441-nucleotide ribosomal RNA is filed under the name uncultured bacterium. Its description in RNAcentral is "partial 16S ribosomal RNA". It matches the Rfam family "Bacterial small subunit ribosomal RNA", at positions 338 to 795 of the family's 1533-position model. The record is from RNAcentral.